This 253-nucleotide ribosomal RNA is filed under the name uncultured bacterium. RNAcentral's name for it is "partial 16S ribosomal RNA". It matches the Rfam family "Bacterial small subunit ribosomal RNA", at positions 524 to 776 of the family's 1533-position model. The record is from RNAcentral.
GACGAACCGUGCAAACGUUAUUCGGAAUCACUGGGCUUAAAGGGUGCGUAGGCGGCCCUGUAGGUGGGAUGUGAAAUCCAACGGCUCAACCGUUGAACUGCGUCCCAAACCACAGGGCUCGAGGGAGACAGAGGUGGGCGGAACUCAAGGUGGAGCGGUGAAAUGCGUUGAUAUCUUGAGGAACACCGGAGGCGAAAGCGGCCCACUGGGUCUCAUCUGACGCUGAGGCACGAAAGCUAGGGGAGCGAACGGG